Molecule: long non-coding RNA, 5781 nt
Filed under: Olea europaea (common olive)
Lineage: Eukaryota; Viridiplantae; Streptophyta; Magnoliopsida; Lamiales; Oleaceae
Description: long non-coding RNA (OEUR_LNC003593)
Source: RNAcentral
UCAAAGGACAGGACCAUGAAAAGUCGGAAUAAUUGGGUCGCACGCGGUUUCAACGAUGCUCCAUUAUUUUAUAUUCUUUCUACGGUCUUCUUUCUAGAUAUCUCUGACUGUUAAAUAAAAUAAUAAAUAGUCUGUCCUUCCAUUAAGAAAUUGCAAGUUACUUUCAACAUAUUUUCUAUUUAUUUGAGAUCUGAUGAGAAACAACAAAGUGCAGCUUCUUUGAAGCCCUUUUGGUUUCUUGGGAGAUUUUCUUGAAAUUUCUUCAAAAUAAGCAGGGGAACAACGGAAGGUUCGGCGAUGGAGGAUGAGAAAGAGACUGACGAAGAAGAUUUACAAUCAAGGACUAUGUUUUGUACUGGUUCAUCCAAGCAUACACCCAAAGACAAGAUCACUUGGGCGGAUCUUGACGAUGAUUUGGUAAAGAUCAAGACUCAAAACUUGAUGCAAUCUUUAUUGUUGGAAUCGGAGGACUCGGCAAGACAACUUAGGUUAGAAAAGUUUAUAUUUAUAAAUUUAUUGCGUAUCAUUUGGUAUUAGUAUCUAAAUAAUGAUAUUUCAAAAUCAUAAAAUGAUUUACGAGAUAUGGAAUACUAGAGACAAGACGAUACGAAACAAUCAUUUACGAAUGAUGUGAAAGUAGAAUCUUGCAAACUAGUAGACUAUAAAAUAUCGCUACUAAAGGGAAAUAGAUAUCUCAUUGUCAUGGAUGAUAUAUGGAAUAUAAAGGUAUUUACAAAUGAUACAAAGUAGAUUAGUUAGUGGAUUAGAAAAUAUGGUAGAAGAGACCUCAUUGUAAUAGAUGAUGUGUGGAAUAUCGGACCUCGGAUGAUUUUAACUAUUGUAUAUACAAUUGGACUCUAGAUAAGAGAUGACAAGUCAACAAAAUCGAUUGGAUGUGAUGGUUAAUGUUCAUAAUUUUUAUUUUUUUAUUCGUGUCUUAAAUAGACAUUAUGAAGUAGAAUUUUGUUAACUAGUAAAAUAGAAAAUGUCGCAAUUGAUGACAUCUCAUUGUAAUUGUAAUGAAUGAUAUACAAGAGUCCUAAGUUUUUUGGACUAUCCUAUCAAGUGGCCAUUGUUGCAAGCUUUGGAAAAAUAUAAUUAUUCUUGGUUUAUUGCCCGAUCUUGAAAUUCUCAAACUGUUGUAUCGAUUGAGUUGUAUGAUUGUCGAGAUUCAGUAGCACAACAAAUACUGAAGCUAACAAGGUGUCAAAGUUGGCAGUACAGAAUUGUCCAAUACAUUGUUGUUCAAUUACAAAUGUUAUUCACUUUUUUGUAUUUCCUUUUUUCUCUCUACUAAUUUUGGUGCGGAUGAUGAAAUUAACUUCUUUUUUGGACUAUGGUUUUCAAACCAAUGUUUUAAAAAUCGACUCAAACAUUGACUCGAAAAAGAAAAGGGGUCAAUUUUUAAAGGGUCGAACCGGUAUGGAAUGACAAAUCAAAUAAAUAAGUACACAAAUAAGCUAUAAAAUAUCAUAACUAUAAAAAAAAUUUUAAUUUUAGUUUUCUCAUUCAAAGUAAAUGUAAUCCAUGUUUGUUAAUUAUAUUUAUUAUAGUAAUUUAUUUUAUAACCUCAAAAAUUAACAAUUAAUAUGUCAAAAAUAACUUGCUUUGUUCAAAUUGAAAAUUAUAAUUUUGUUGGUGUUUAUGAUUUGUUAAUGAAGAUAAUAAAGUAAAUUAGUCAACACUUAGAAAGUUAAAUUGGCAAUUGGUUAUUAUCUCACAUUGGAAGAUUACCAAAAUAUUAGAAGAAGAAUCUUCUUUAAAAAUGAGCCAGUAUCUCAUAUUGGAAGGUUACCAAAACAUUGGAAAAAUAGUCUCCUUUAAAAAUGAGGUAAAAGAGAAUCACUUGUAUAAAAAAGUUAGGGAAAAAUUCAUUUAUAAGAGUUUAUCUAUUCCAUAUUUCAAAACUAAGAAAAGAAGAUUUACAUUCAGUUAUUAUUAAAAUUUAUUUCUGAAAUAAUUGAUUAAAAAAAUAUUUUAUUAAUUAAACAUAUUAAGGCCAUAGAUCUAUUAAAUUUGAUCACAGUUUAUCAAAUUAAUUGAUUACAAAUUAUUUCUAAGUCACAUAUCGAAAAUUCUAUAGGUCACAAAUUAUUUAUCGAUCACAUACUGAAAAUUUCAUAGGUCACAAUUCUUUGACCGAUCACAAAAUUAAAAUUUUUAUUGGUCACAAAUAAAAUUUUUCACAAGUCACAGUUCAUUGAUCUGUCACAAAAUCAUAAUUUUAAUUGGUCAUAACUCAUUUGUCGGUCACAGAUCAAAAUUUUCAUAAGUCACAAUUAAUUGAUUGGUCACAAAAUCAAAAUUUUUACUAAUUACAAUUUAUUUGUUGAUCACAAAUUAUCAAAAUAAUUUGCCACAAUUAAUUUUACAAUCACAAAUUAUUUUUUGAUCACAAUUUAAAAAUUUUAUAGAUCACAAUUUAUUCAUUGGUCACAAAUCAAAAAUUUAUUUGUUACCACCACGCCAUGACUUUAGCAGCACCAUUGCCAAAACCACUGUUACCACCUCCCGACAGCAACAUCCCCAUCUCAUACGAGCCAACACUGCCACCUCCCCACACCACCGUCGAUAGCAAAACCACCACCUCAAACAAAUUAACCAUCAUAGAAACCACCACCACACCAUCGCAUCACUAGUGCGAGGCUGCGCCGCAAGCGAAAAGGAAGGAGAGCUAGCCACACUAACUCACCACCACCACUACCCGCACCACCGCCACCUGCACCACCUAAUUUGUAACCACAUCGCCAAUGCCAACAUUGUUUGUGACAUCGCUAUAUCCACCACAUCUAUCACCAGAUCCACCAAUAAAAAUCACCUCAAAAUCCCAAAACCAAAACAUUAAAACCCAUCACCACACAACAACACAACACCACCCGCACUGCACUCCCCACCACACCACUGUACCACACAUCCAAACACUACAUCGUCAUCACCAAGCUACUGUAGUCGCGAUCAGAGAGGCAUAGAUCGCGUUAUCUGAGUGUCGGCACUGCCGUGAGCAUCGCUUACAACAACACUCAGAAUGGCCACUAUGAGAGCUGCCUCCAAUGCUCACAACAGCGCUUAGAAGUUAGAUCAACACCUAUAAUCUUGCAGCAAAAUAGAGAGAAUUUGAGCUCCGGCACCACUGAGAUGGAGAGAAUCUGAUAGGCCCUUAGUCGCGGUAUCUGAGCAUCGACACCGUUGACGAUUUCGCAAUAGCGGCUAUGACGAUCGGUGCCGACGGAGAGAAGGAGACGUUUGAGAGAUAUAGGGUAGAGAGAAAGUGGAGAUAAAGGGUAGAAGAAAAUGAAUGAAUUAGGGCUCCGAAUGGGAUGGGUGGAUUAAUUAAUUUUUAUGGAGUAAUUAAUUAAAAUAAGCCUCCGAUUUUUGAAAUAAUAAAUUUAAUAUAUGAUUAAUGAAACUGAAUCUUUAAAUCUCUUAGUUUAUGUAAUCUCCUCUUUAGGGAAUUCGAGCCUUCAAUUGUAGUGUGUGGCCCAUUAAAAUAGUUAAAAGUUUUUGUGAAAAAAAUUAAAAUCAAUCGGGAAAAACGUGGCAGGUUUACCGGUUCACGGUUAAACUGACCGAGUUGAUAGUUUAUUAGCCGGUUCUUUAUUUUUCGGUUAAUGUAUGAGUACCGGAUCGGAUUAAAGGUGGAUUCACGAAUUUCUUGAUUGAACUGGCCAAUCCGAUCCGAUUUUUAUAACAUUGUUUCAAAUUAAACACAGUUUUUCUCCCCCAUAAUUUUGAAUGUGCUUGCUGGAAUACAAUUUUGUUUAGUCUUACUUUGGAUGGAAGUUAGAUUUCGUGAAAGCAAGAGAAAAGUUCAAAAAGUUAAACAAUCUCAAGAGAAUUAGAUUCUAUUACGUGUUGACCAUUUGCUCAUGUUUGAGUCAUAUUCCUUUAAAAUAUAUUUUUUAAACUCAUUUUUAAUGAUAUAUUCUUUCAAUAAAAUAAUUUUGCAUGUAAAAAUUUAAAAUUUUUCUCUAUAAUUUGAUCACGCUUUUCAAAAAUUCACAAUUUCAAAAUCUAUUAAUCCAAAAAAUAGGGUUGAAACAAUUAUGUUACAAGCAUUUGUAUUUUAUGCCUUCUAUAUAUUGGAGUCGAAAAAAAAAUAUUAGGCCAAAAUCAUGUUAUUGUAUAUAAUAGCGCAUGCUAUGUUGGUUAUAAAUUAAUCCUUAUUUAGUCAGUGCAUUUUUGGAAAUAUGAGUUACGUUUUAAAAUACUUAUUUGUAUGUAAAUUCAUGAUUGCCCUUCUUACUUAAUUGUCAAAUUCAAUCUGACGCCUAUUUGGUGGUAUUAAAAACAAACUUUUAGUCAAUUUUGAUUUUGAUUAAAAAAAUGAUGAAAUAUGUGGUUAAGAAGUUGUGACUUUUAUUAUGGGUGCGUGCGCGUGCGUGCAUACAUACAUUUUUUUGGUUUGUUAUUGUCAAUGAUUUAUCUUCUGUUCUGAGUUACACAAUGAAAUUUCAAUAAGUAUUGUACUUCUAACUUUGUUAAAAAAAAAAAAAAAAAUGUCUUCAACAAACCACUUAUUUUCAAAAAUUAUCCUAAUAAUCACUAAAUUUGUAAUUCAUUAUCUCAUCCAUCAUUCAAUUUUUUAAAUUGACAAUCACGUGGAUGCCAAGUGAAAAAUAGAUUGCCACGCAUGUACUUUUGUCAGUUACGUCACCAAAUUUAUCAAUUCUUUAAACGUUCAUUGAGUGAGUAAUAGAUGUGAUUACAUUUUGCAAAGUUCAAUGACUAAUGGGGAAACAUUUGAAAUUUAGUGAUCCCUUGAAAACUAUUCGUUAAGUUCAUUGACCAAUCAGGUAAUUAACUCCCUUUUUAAUUAUUGUUAGAGAUUCAAGGGAACAAGCAUGAUAUUUUGAUUAAGCUUUAGAUUAGGGUAUUUAUCUUGUUGCAAACUAUUGUUUCUAGUUUGUUUUUUAUUUGAUUAAAAGAAAUAAUAUAAUUGAGAGUUUUACUUUAGCGCUCUGUAAUCCGAAUCGUUAUUAUGUGAAAUCGACGAUGUAUUAAUUAAGAAUCAAUUCUUGAUAUUUAUGUGAGGAAAACCGAAUUUUGAUUAUUAAGUUUCUGAUAUUUUUACAAAGAACUAAGGAAUAUUUAAUUAUUUUAUUUGUAAUUGCCUUUUGCUAUAUUAUAUAUAUCAAGAUUUUCAAUUUUUGCACACAAGGUGCGUAGGCUAACCUUAAUAAAUUGAAAGAAGUUUGUGGUUGCGCUUGUCGACAAUGUUGAAAGAUGUAAAGUAGAGGUAGUUGUAGCAACGGUUUCGAAAUUUUGUUUUUUAAGUGGAUUUUUCAUUAAUCUUCAAUUUGUGCAGUUCCAUAUCUUUCAAAUAGUCACAUUACUAGAAGGCGAAAAACGUCAGUGCAUUCGUUAGUUGACCUAAAAAAUUAACCAAAAAAAAUUGUAUUUUUUUACCAACUAUACCAUAUACAUUUUCAUCCCUUCCUAUUAUACUCUCAAAAAUAAAAAAAUGUCAAUUAUUUAUACAUUUUCACUUCCGAUUAUUUCAUGAUAUGAUUGUAUACGAUCAUCUUCUAAAUAGAUUCUAAAGAAACCCAUGUUCUCGAUGACAAUCCUUUAGAUAUUGCUUGUCGUCUAUUAGGCGUUCUUUUUGAACCUGUGUACAGUUAUUGUUGUUGGAAUUUAAAAAAUUCCUGGUUUGGGCAUGAUGGUUAUUUGUUUUCCAAGGAAAAUCCUAGUUAUUUCAACAUAAGGCAACAACAUGGUGGAAUGUUAUUCGGAAAGAUGUGAAAUUUUGCGUAUGAGCAUGGUAAAAUAAGUUAUUUAGAC